Long non-coding RNA from Scomber japonicus (chub mackerel), 220 nucleotides. RefSeq lists it as uncharacterized. Lineage: Eukaryota; Metazoa; Chordata; Actinopteri; Scombriformes; Scombridae. The transcript has 4 exons. The record is from RefSeq and is a predicted model, not a curated record.
UGGAGUUCUCCUGGCUCCUCCUGGUCCUGACGGUGGCCGUCUUCCUCUCCAGCAUCGUCCUGGUCAUCGUCUGUCUCAACUGCAGGAACAGCGGUCCUCAGGUCUCUAUCAGGCAAGCUUCAGAGAUUUACAUGCCCUCCACUGAUUUCAGGGUCAUCCACUCAGCUCAACCAACCACAGAUGUGAGCUCCCUCCGUUCCCCCUCCGCCCUGCUGUCACC